CCCUUAGAUGUUCUGGGCAGCACGCGCGCUACAAUGGUCUUCGCAAACGGAUGCAUUCUCGAAGGAGAAUGCCAAUCUUGGAAUCUAUGCCUUGGUCGGGACAGUUGCUUGCAAUUUUUCGACUCGAACCAGGAAUUCCUUGUAAUCGUGAUUCAUCACAUCACGAUGAAUACGUUCCUGCCCUUUGUACACACCGCCCGUCGCUCCUACCGAUCGAAGAGUUAGGUGAAUUGUUUUGAUCGAUAAGAUUUGACUAUGGUCAACUCUCGUUGUGAAAUUCUGUGAAUCUGACUGUUUAGAGGAAGGAAAAGUCGUAACA
This 319-nucleotide ribosomal RNA is filed under the name uncultured eukaryote. RNAcentral describes it as "partial 18S ribosomal RNA". It matches the Rfam family "Eukaryotic small subunit ribosomal RNA", at positions 1470 to 1796 of the family's 1831-position model. The record is from RNAcentral.